RNAcentral lists this ribosomal RNA (255 nucleotides) under uncultured bacterium. Its description in RNAcentral is "partial 16S ribosomal RNA". It matches the Rfam family "Bacterial small subunit ribosomal RNA", at positions 74 to 334 of the family's 1533-position model. The record is from RNAcentral.
CAAACCAAAGCUGGCGACCGGCGCACGGGUGAAUAACACGUAUCCAACCUGCCUCAUACUCGGGGAUAGCCUUUCGAAAGAAAGAUUAAUAUCCGAUAGCAUAUAUUUCCCGCAUGGGUUUUAUAUUAAAGAAAUUCGGUAUGAGAUGGGGAUGCGUUCCAUUAGUUUGUUGGGGGGGUAACGGCCCACCAAGACUACGAUGGAUAGGGGUUCUGAGAGGAAGGUCCCCCACAUUGGAACUGAGACACGGUCCAA